Trachemys scripta elegans is the source of this 1172-nucleotide long non-coding RNA. RefSeq lists it as uncharacterized. The transcript has 2 exons. The record is from RefSeq and is a predicted model, not a curated record. Lineage: Eukaryota; Metazoa; Chordata; Testudines; Emydidae.
CGCGAGCCUGACCCCCCCCCCCCCCCCCGGCGGUGACCGCGGAGCAGCUUCCCCGCCCCCUGGCCUUAUGUCCCUACUCCCCCUCCCCCCUGCGGCCCGGCCUGUCUCGCUGCCCCGCGGCUCCUGGCACUCCCCGGGGAACCCCGUGCCGGGGCAGGCACGGGAGCAGGGGCUGGGCCCCUGAGUUCCUGCUAACCCCUCGUCCCCCGUUGCUGGCCCGGCCUCUCGACCCUAGCGGGCGGUAGUUGUGCGCUGCGGGGACCGGCUCCCCGGGGGCGGCGGGCUCCCCUCGCUGCCGGCCCGGUGAGGUGGCCUCACGGGUCGGCAGUUCGCAGCGCGAGUGUCUGGGCCAGGGCCGCCCGCUGCGAGCGGGGCUGGCGUAUCCGCUGGCCUUGUUGGAGCCCGUCAGGUCCUGCGGGGGCGGGGAGGCUGGAGAGUGAACAUGUUGCUAGAUCACUAAUAUAUAGUUGUAUGGCUGAUUGUUUGUUAAUCUAUGGAGUGUGUGGAAAGUUAUUUUGAAGGGUGUAAAUUCUCUCUUUAGCCAGUAGCCUGGAGCAAUUGUGAAGCUCCACAACACUGUGUAAUCAUGGAUUUAGUACCAGUACAUCCAUCUAGAUGAAGAGAAAUUGAAGAGGAACCCAACAGGACUACCACCCCAUGGAGGAUUAUGGACAUGGCAAAAAAAAAAAAAAAUAGAUAUGGGCUUUCCGAAGAAAAAGGGAACACAAGGUCACUUGGAAACAGUCCCAGAAAAGGACCACAUAGUAUUCUGAAUAGCUCAAAUUCUUUUAAAAACAUGGGUCAGAACCAAGGAGUAAGAAUAAAUGAUACCUGAAAAGACCAGAUUAAGAAAUGGAUAUCCGAUGACCAUUGUGGCAAUUCAGACAGCUGGAGAGAGUACAAAUCUACAGUUUGGAUUCCUGUGCUUAACAGGACAAGAAAAGACUCUUUUCAUGAGGUUGAAGGUGCAGGAAGCAGAAAUGUAAAAAGACAGUUUCUGAAAGACUUAAAUGAAGAAAUGUCAGACACACAGAAAGGAAACUGUGGUAAUGAACACAUUUUUUACAUAGUUUUUUAAAGUAAAAUCGAUUACUGUGUGCUUGUCCAGAAAGUACAACUUUAAGGUUCAAUGUUAAUGCAAAAAGCUAAAUAAAACCAUUUCUGUUCCGUAA